UUAGCACAGGGACACAUAGAGAUAUCCGAACCCGGGCGUUGGUUGACCCGGGCGCAAGGGACCGAACAUCAGUAGGGAAGUCGGAGAUGCUCUGUGGCGAGAAAAGCUGUGUGUAUUGAUUAGGCGCCCGUACCGCAAACCGACACAGGUAGAUGAGGAGAGAAUCCUAAGGCCAACGGGAGAAGGGUUGUUAAGGAACUCGGCAAAUUGACCCCGUAACUUCGGGAUAAGGGGAGCCUCCUACGGGAGGCCGCAGUGAAUAGGCCCAAGCAACUGUUUACCAAAAACACAGGUCUCUGCUAAAUCGAAAGAUGACGUAUAGGGGCUGACGCCUGCCCGGUGCCGGAAGGUUAAGAGGAGAGCUUAGCGCAAGCGAAGGUUCGAAUUGAAGCCCCGGUAAACGGCGGCCGUAACUAUAACGGUCCUAAGGUAGCGAAAUUCCUUGUCAGGUAAGUUCUGACCCGCACGAAUGGCGCAAUGAUUUGGGCACUGUCUCAACAGCCCGCCCGGCGAAAUUGUAGUACUGGUGAAGAUGCCAGUUACCCGCAACUAGACGGAAAGACCCCAUGGAGCUUUACUGUAGCCUAAUACUGAAGAUCGGUAAUGCAUGUACAGGAUAGGUGGGAGCCAGCGAAACCCGGGCGUCAGCUCGGAUGGAGGCAACCUUGGAAUACCACCCUUGUAUUGCUGGUUUUCUAACCUGCGGCCAUGAAUCUGGUCGGGGGACACUGUUAGGUGGGCAGUUUGACUGGGGCGGUCGCCUCCAAAAGCGUAACGGAGGCGCUCAAAGGUUGGCUCAGCACGGACGGAAAUCGUGCAUAGAGUGCAAACGCAUAAGCCAACUUGACUGCGAGACCGACGGGUCGAGCAGGUACGAAAGUAGGAGUUAGUGAUCCGGUGGUAUGUGAGUGGAAAUGCCAUCGCUCAACGGAUAAAAGCUACCCUGGGGAUAACAGGCUGAUCUCCCCCAAGCGUCCACAGCGACGGGGAGGUUUGGCACCUCGAUGUCGGCUCGUCACAUCCUGGGGCUGUAUUCGGUCCCAAGGGUUCGGCUGUUCGCCGAUUAAAGUGGCACGCGAGCUGGGUUCAGAACGUCGUGAGACAGUUCGGUCCCUAUCUGUUGCGGGCGCAGGAGAUUUGAAGGGAGCUGUCCUUAGUACGAGAGGACCGGGAUGGACAGACCUCUGGUGCACCAGUUGUCGUGCCAACGGCACAGCUGGGUAGCUACGUCUGGACGAGAUAAACGCUGAAAGCAUCUAAGUGUGAAACUCCCCCUAAGAUAAGAUCUCCCAUCCAUUAGGAGUAAGGGACGACAGAGACUAUGUCGUUGAUAGGUCGGAAGUGUAAGUGCAGUAAUGCAUUGAGCUGACCGAUACUAAUAACCCGAGGGCUUGA
This 1395-nucleotide ribosomal RNA is filed under the name metagenome. Its description in RNAcentral is "bacterial LSU rRNA". It matches the Rfam family "Bacterial large subunit ribosomal RNA", at positions 1461 to 2925 of the family's 2925-position model. The record is from RNAcentral.